RNAcentral lists this non-coding RNA (109 nucleotides) under Schnuerera ultunensis. RNAcentral describes it as "Clostridium ultunense TPP sequence". It matches the Rfam family "TPP riboswitch aptamer (THI element)". From Rfam's summary of the family: Vitamin B(1) in its active form thiamin pyrophosphate (TPP) is an essential coenzyme that is synthesised by coupling of pyrimidine and thiazole moieties in bacteria. The previously detected thiamin-regulatory element, thi box was extended, resulting in a new, highly conserved RNA secondary structure, the THI element, which is widely distributed in eubacteria and also occurs in some archaea. Lineage: Bacteria; Bacillati; Bacillota; Tissierellia; Tissierellales; Tepidimicrobiaceae. The record is from RNAcentral. RNAcentral also lists the same sequence under 1 other name.
AUAUAUUUUUUGGGGAGCUUAUAGUGAUAGGCUGAGAAAGGAAUGUUAUUCCUGACCCUUUGAACCUGAUUUGGAUAAUUCCAACGGAGGGAGAUUUCUAAAAUCUAUU